RNAcentral lists this long non-coding RNA (816 nucleotides) under Homo sapiens (human). RNAcentral's name for it is "HSALNT0406396". Lineage: Eukaryota; Metazoa; Chordata; Mammalia; Primates; Hominidae. The record is from RNAcentral.
UCUAAGCUGCCAGUCUGUGGGGCUUUGUCAUGGCAGCCCUAGGACGCUGAUUACAUGUUUCCACCCCAACCCUGGCUUGCCUCCUGUGUUUCCUGCCUCUGUGAAAGAGACUCCCACCCAGCCAGCUGCCCAAGUCAGAAAGCGGCUUGAGAUUCAUGCUGCCUCCUCCUCUCUCACCACCACCAUCCGUGUUCCUCAGGACCUGUCAUCCCAGUGCACACAGCCAGGCCUCUGCGAGACUGUUUCAUAGAUGCUCAAGACACCAGCAAACCAGUGCCACCGAACAAGUAUGAGAAAAGAACAGGCUAGAUUAUGUUAUCCAGAACUUCACAACCAUCAGAUCUAGACAGAAGGAGGUGGACAGUGAACACAGAAAAGCUGUAAGGUGUCCUGUGACAGAUGUAUGUGGUGGACACAGCAGGACCCAGAGGAAGGAAGAAAGAAGCUGCUCUUGAAAAGACCCUCAAACCACGAUGCUCAAGGAAGUGUCGAGAGAUGAAGGAGAGGUGUUUGCCAGGCAGAGCAGGUGGGGAAGGAUAAUCUGAGGAGGAUAGAUAGCCAGUGCAAAGGCUCAGAGCACUUUUGGAGUGCUGCCAGACCAGGGUGGGUGCGGGGCCCUGGAGGGGGCGAGGCAGGAACCUGACCGAGGGGGCUUUGGAGGUCAUGUCCAUCUUCUGUGAUGUUACAGUGAGGGCUGCCCAGAAGGGUUCAGGAGAGUCACGUGGUGGAGUUUGUCACAUAAAAUAACCCUGGGGCCCGGUGUGGUGGCUCAUGCCUGUAAUCCCAGCAGUUUGAGAGGCUGAAGUGAGAGAAUCG